Molecule: small RNA, 727 nt
Filed under: Pongo abelii (Sumatran orangutan)
Lineage: Eukaryota; Metazoa; Chordata; Mammalia; Primates; Hominidae
Description: processed transcript
Source: RNAcentral
UUGUCUUGGACUCUAGUCCUUGGCUGGACUGUAGAAGGUGAGAGGCAAGUCACCCUCCUCACAGACCUCUGCUUGGAGUAUUUAGGAUGACUGCUAUGAAAUGGAGAACAGUUUCAUCAUGACCAAAAAACCUCACUGGGCCUCUCCAGAGAACUGCAGACCUCACUGUCAGGCUCUUUCUGAUGACGCGUGUCUGUGUGCAUCGUGUUUCUGAGACCACAGUUUACCUCAGGCAAGGAAACAGGCUCUAAGAGGCUGAGGACUUUGCCCAGGAUGACAUAGCCAAUGGACAAGCUGUGUCUGUCAGCUGUGAAGGCUUCACUCUAAUUGUCCUUCUACCUUGAAUAGACAUUUUCCUGAUAAGAAUAAACAAGGAAAAGGUCUUUGCCUCCUGGAAGAACAAAUCUACCAGGUGAUCUAUUCAUUGUUUCAACUCAGAAUGCACUUGAUUCAGGAGGUCAUCUGACCUUCACCUUGGAUGGCCUGCUUCAGCGGAGUGUGGGGAGAAUGCUGAAAGGCAGCUCCUGUCAAAGUCCCUGCCCCGCUGGAUCGGACACAGGCUUAAAUUACUGCAGCGUUUGCACCCCUCUGUUCUAGGAUUACCUUGAUGUGUGAGGAAGCUGAUUUGGUAUUGGAAAGUAUUGUGGAGCUAGGAGGAAUCAAACUGCUCUAUUUUCUUCAUUUUCAAACUCACCUUGGGCAGGCACGUAAACACCAUUGUGCAGGC